AUGGCUGGUGCCCAAGGGUCGACGAUGCCGGCGGCGGCAGCGGAGGCGGAGGCGGGCAUGGACACUGAGCUCUCAUGCGGGAGCUGGGCCCCAAACUUCGGGUUCGCGUUCGAUUCAGAGCGCUUCUCCGACAAGGUGCUGCGGAUAGAGAUCGUCGCCAACGGUGAAGUCGCCGGAGGAGGAUCCCUCACCGAACCGGCAAGCCACCGCGCGGCGAAAGAGAAACAAAUUCAGGAAGCCUCGCAAAGCUCUUGA
Molecule: ribosomal RNA, 255 nt
Filed under: Triticum aestivum (bread wheat)
Lineage: Eukaryota; Viridiplantae; Streptophyta; Magnoliopsida; Poales; Poaceae
Description: partial small subunit ribosomal RNA
Source: RNAcentral